UACGUAGGGUGCGAGCGUUAAUCGGAAUUACUGGGCGUAAAGCGUGCGCAGGCGGUUUGUUAAGACAGAUGUGAAAUCCCCGGGCUUAACCUGGGAACUGCGUUUGUAACUGGCAGACUGGAGUGUGGCAGAGGGGGGUGGAAUUCCAAGUGUAGCAGUGAAAUGCGUAGAUAUUUGGAGGAACACCGAUGGCGAAGGCAGCCCCCUGGGCUAACACUGACGCUCAUGCACGAAAGCGUGGGGAGCAAACAGG
RNAcentral lists this ribosomal RNA (253 nucleotides) under uncultured prokaryote. RNAcentral's name for it is "partial 16S ribosomal RNA". It matches the Rfam family "Bacterial small subunit ribosomal RNA", at positions 524 to 776 of the family's 1533-position model. The record is from RNAcentral.